ACGGUCCAGACUCCUACGGGAGGCAGCAGUGGGGAAUUUUGGACAAUGGGGGCAACCCUGAUCCAGCAAUGCCGCGUGAGUGAAGAAGGCCUUCGGGUUGUAAAGCUCUUUUGUCAGGGAAGAAACGGGUUCGGAUAAUACCUGGGCCUAAUGACGGUACCUGAAGAAUAAGCACCGGCUAACUACGUGCCAGCAGCCGCGGUAAUACGUAGGGUGCAAGCGUUAAUCGGAAUUACUGGGCGUAAAGCGUGCGCAGGCGGUUUUAUAAGUUUGUCGUGAAAGCCCCGGGCUCAACCUGGGAAUGGCGAUGAAGACUGUAAGGCUAGAGUGUGUCAGAGGGGGGUAGAAUUCCACGUGUAGCAGUGAAAUGCGUAGAUAUGUGGAGGAACACCGAUGGCGAAGGCAGCCCCCUGGGAUAACACUGACGCUCAUGCACGAAAGCGUGGGGAGCAAACAGGAUUAGAUACCCUGGUAGUCCACGCCCUAAACGAUGUCUACUAGUUGUCGGGUCUUAAUUGACUUGGUAACGCAGCUAACGCGUGAAGUAGACCGCCUGGGGAGUACGGUCGCAAGAUUAAAACUCAAAGGAAUUGACGGAA
RNAcentral lists this ribosomal RNA (599 nucleotides) under bacterium enrichment culture clone F61x_D40_T3_H05. RNAcentral describes it as "bacterial SSU rRNA". It matches the Rfam family "Bacterial small subunit ribosomal RNA", at positions 326 to 918 of the family's 1533-position model. The record is from RNAcentral.